GAAACCGGAGCUAAUACCGGAUAAUAUUUUGAACAGCAUGGUUCAAAAGUGAAAGACGGUCUUGCUGUCACUUAUAGAUGGAUCCGCGCUGCAUUAGCUAGUUGGUAAGGUAACGGCUUACCAAGGCAACGAUGCAUAGCCGACCUGAGAGGGUGAUCGGCCACACUGGAACUGAGACACGGUCCAG
RNAcentral lists this ribosomal RNA (187 nucleotides) under uncultured Staphylococcus sp. Its description in RNAcentral is "partial 16S ribosomal RNA". It matches the Rfam family "Bacterial small subunit ribosomal RNA", at positions 153 to 334 of the family's 1533-position model. Lineage: Bacteria; Bacillati; Bacillota; Bacilli; Caryophanales; Staphylococcaceae. The record is from RNAcentral.